CCCAUCCUCCCCUAAUCCCCCCUCAGCACCCCUUAUAACUCCCCAUCCACCCAUCAAUCCCCCCUCAGCACCCCUUAUAACCCUCCAUCUACUCACAAUCCCCCUCUUCUCAGAGUUGAAAGCGUUGGGGGAUUUGCUGUCUGUCUGUCGGUUCAACACUUUCAAAGCCCUGGUCAUUGAGUUCCUCAUGAGGAUCACCCUUUAUGAAGGAGGAGGGAAUCUAUUCCUUUUUCCAUUAAAACCAGACUGUCAGACAGAUAGAUAGAGAGACAGCCCCCUCUAUCUCCCUCCUGCCUUCUCUGUCCCUUAUACCCCCCUUGUAGCUCACAAUGAGCAGGGUUAGAAGGGGGUUGCAGGUUUUCCUCUGUAUGUCUGGUGUCUGUGUGUCUGGUGUCUAGUGUUGGGACUCAGCCACUUAAUUUAUCCUGCAAUUGCGUAUCCCCCACUCUCCCCUCCUCCUUCACCCCUCCCUUCUUACUCUCCUCCUCCUCCCCCAUCUUAUUUAUUUUCCUUUAUUGCGAUGUUGUUCCCAUUCCUAACUACCCGUGGUGCACAUCCACAUCCAAGCCUUGUUUUCCUUGGACCGCUGAGCCGAAACUUUCCUUUCCACGCUCCGGCACUCCCAUCGGGGGAAAUCCCAAUUAACCCAGCCAGGACAAUCGGCUUCAGAGCUGGGAGAGGCUGGGAUAGAGACUGGAGAGAGAGUCUGGAGAGAGAGUCUGGAGAGAGAGACUGGAGAGAGAGAGACUGGGAUAGAGACUGGGAUAGAGACUGGAGAGAGAGACUGGAGGGAGAGACUGGGAUAGAGACUGGGAUAGAGACUGGAGAGAGAGACUGGAGAGAGAGACUGGAGAGAGAGACUGGAGGGAGAGACUGGAGAGUUAGACUGGAGGGAGAGACUGGAGAGAGAGACUGGAGAGAGAGACUGGAGAGAGAGACUGGGAUAGAGACUGGAGAGAGAGACUGGGAUAAAGACUGGGAUAGAGACUGGAGAGAGAGACUGGAGAGAGAGACUGGAGAGAGAGACUGGAGAGAGAGACUGGGAUAGAGACUGGAGAGAUAGACUGGAGAGAGAGACUGGGAUAGAGACUGGAGAGAGAGACUGGAGAGAGAGACUGGGAUAGAGACUGGAGAGAGAGACUGGAGAGAGAGACUGGGAUAGAGACUGGAGAGAGAGACUGGGAUAGAGACUGGAGAGAGAGACUGGAGAGAGAGACUGGAGAGAGAGACUGGGAUAAACACUGGGAUAGAGACUGGAGAGAUAGACUGGAGAGAGAGACUAGGAUAGAGACUGGAGAGAGACUGGGAGAGAGACUGGCGAGAGACUGGAGAGAGACUGGGAUAGAGACUGGAGAGAGACUGGGAGAGAGACUGGAGAGAGACUGGGAGAGAGACUGGGAGAGAGACUGGGAGAGAGACUGGAGAGAGACUGGGAUAGAGACUGGGAUAGAGACUGGGGAGAGACUGGAGAGAGACUGGGAGAGAGACUGGGAUAGAGACUGGGAUAGAGACUGGGGAGAGACUGGAGAGAGACUGGGAUAGAGACUGGAGAGAGACUGGAGAGAGACUGGAGAGAGACUGGAGAGAGACUGGGAGAGAGACUGGGAGAGAGACUAGGCGAGAGACAUCAGGAAAGACUGGAAAAGGCUGGAAGAGAGUUGAAGAGACCAGGAGAGACUGGGAGAGACUGGGAGAGAGACCAGGAAGAGACCUACCUUUUCCCUUCUAUCCCAGAGCUCACUGCAUAAACCCUUUAAACCCUCCGUUGCUCUCUCUCUCUGGCCGGAUCGGAUAUCAUUCCAUAACCUGACCGGGAUUCUUUCCCAGGCCCGGCUUUCUGACAGAGUUUAGAGGUUGAUGAUUUAUAUAUAGAGUGUGUGGGGCCCCUUCGGUUGCACCACGGGGUCUUCUAUGGUGUGUCUAGCUGCUGUGAUGGUGGGUUCUGAGACGGGACUUGAGUGGGUUCAAUGAAAGGAAGAUUGAAUUAACUAUGAAUGUCAAUAUUUCUGGGGAGUCAGAGAGUGUCAUGACAGGACACAGACAGGCUGACAGGGUGACAGGGACACAGACAGGCUAACCUGGUGACAGUGACACAGGCUGACAUGGUGACAGGACACAGACAGGCUGACAUGGUGACAGGACACAGACAGGCUGACAUGGUGACAGGGACACAGACAGGUUGACAUGGUGACAGGACACAGACAGGCUGACAUGGUGACAGGACACAGACAGGCUAACAUGGUGACAGGGACACAGACAGGUUGACAUGGUGACAGGACACAGACAGGCUGACAUGGUGACAGGACACAGACAGGCUGACAUGGUGACAGGGACACAGACAGGCUGACAUGGUGACAGGGACACAGGCUGACAUGGUGACAGGACACAGACAGGCUGACAUGGUGACAGGGACGCAGACAAGCUGACAUGGUGACAGGGACACAGACAGGCUGACAUGGUGACAGGGACACAGACAGGCUGACAUGGUGACAGGGACACAGACAGGCUGACAUGGUGACAGGACACAGACAGGCUGACAUGGUGACAGGGACACAGACAUGCUGACAUGGUGGCAGGGACACAGACAGGCUGACAUGGUGACAGGGACGCAGACAGGCUGACAUGGUGACAGGACCCAGACAGGCUGACAUGGUGACAGGGACACAGACAGGCUGACAUGGUGACAGGGACACAGACAGGCUGACAUGGUGACAGGGGGACAUAGAGGAGGAUGUGGAGGAGGGAGCAGGGCUGUUUGCGUGUUACCCAGUACUGAACUGAACACCCCUCCCCCCUCCUCUCCACUUCCUAAUUCCAGUAUCAGUCUAUUGUCAUACUCUGACUCUGGGAAUGUGCCCUGGCUGUGUACAAGGAGACAAGUGAAGGGAGGGAGAGAAUGACAAGGAGGAGAUGAGAAGUGUAGAGGAAGACAGUGACUAAUCAAGAGAACGCUUGCUGUUGACAAAGUGGGAAGAGCAGAGGGAGAGUACAUAACUUCAUUGGUGGAGACAUGUUGAAAAGCAGCCACACACUCAGAGGGAAGGGUGUAGGUGCUGUUCUGCUCUGUGUGUCCUUAACCCUGCUGUGUUGAGUAACAGGCCUACUGCUGGCCUCUCUGUCACACAUACACACCGCUUUAUCCCCUUGUCCAUGUGUGUUUGUUUGUGCAACUGUGUGUGCGUGUAUCAUUUGUCAUUAGGCUCCGCCACAGUAGUAACUGUCAGGCACCGCUGACUCUCCCUGUUUCUGAUUGGCCGACCCCUGACCCCCUAGACAUUCUGGUAACCAACGGCAGCGGAGCCGGGCACAGAGACAGCUGCAGCCCCUGUGUGCGUACAGCUCUGAUUCCCCUGUCACACACACUGGCUAGUGACAAGGAGUGGGAUUCCGUUUGGCUUGUUUUGCUCAGGAAACACUAUCGAUUAAUCAGGCCUAUAUUAGUCACCAGUGUCCUUGAGGAUUAAACAGAGCUAGACUGAGUUUAAUAGGUUACGUAUGAAUGAGACUUAAUGCUACCCAUGAUCACGUUCAGUGUGCUGUCCCCCUCCUUUAAAGACUCCCCCUUAAACACACACAACCCACCCCAAAAUGACAUGGUCCCCGGAAUGUACACAAAUCUAAAACCUCCCACCUCUGCAAACUUAUGUGAAGACACACAGGUUGAAUGCAAUCAGUUGUGUAACUCUCCCCCUCUUUCUCUCUCUUUCUCUCUCUCCCUCCUCUUUCUCUCACCCAUUCCCUCCUCUCUUCCCACCGCUUCUCUCUUUUACCCAUCUCCCCUCUCUCCCCCUCCCUCUCCCUCUCUGUCUCCACCCCUACUCAGUUUCUGCUCAGGCCCUCUCACCCUCUGCUUCAGACCGGAGAUAAGAGCAAACACACACCAUGAUGAUCGCCGUCCAGACACCAUUGUCCACUGUUUACCCACGGAAUACCUCUGCUACUUAACCUCCUUUUCACUCCCUCUAUCCCUGUUUUCUCUCUUCCUAUCCCUCAUUCCCCCCUUUUCCUGCCUUUCUAAAAGACACUGUUUCAAAGGAAGGAUGCUGAAUAGUGGAUGCUGUGUUCUCCCUACCCUCUUUCUUGCCACUCUGUGUCCAGUUCAGCCUACGUCUCUGUCUCACCCUGGGCUUAUGUUUCCGAGACGUUACGUCAUUGCAGGGCCCAAACAUUACAAGGUUAUGUAGUAUCAGAAUGGAAUGGUGUAUUAUUUGGGCUGUGUGACUAAUUCACUGGGUAGAGCUUGACUUGGCUGGAGGCCAGAAUGGGAUUGAGAAAGAACUCUCCUUCUCUCCCAUCUGUGUGUGUGUGUGUGUGUGUGUGUGUGUGUGUGUGUGUGUGUGUGUGUGUGUGUGUGUGUGUGUGUGUGUGUGUGUGUGUGUGUGUGUGUGUGUGUGUGUGUGUGUGUGUGUGUGUGUGUGUGUGUGUGUGUGUGUGUGUGAGCUGUCCUGACUGCAUAACAGCAUUGUUCAUAACACCAGAAAGCGUGAGGAGAUUGUCGGUCAAUAUCCUGUCCCGUGCCAUGACCAGGAAGAGCACAGAAGCCUGAUAUAUUGUUUCCAUGUGGCCCAGGCCCAGGGUGUGUCUGUGUACCUGCCCUGGCCUUCAGAUCAGAGAUCAGAGAGAGGCAUCACCUAACGCCAUUUUACACAUCCACCCAACAGCCCAACUACACCCACUUCACAGGCCCCUUGAAGUGGCUGGGUGGUGGGGAGUCAGUGUUGGGGUUGGUGGAGUUAUUGAAUGGAAGUUUAGGUGAAGGUCUGUGUAAGAUCUGGCUGUGUGGGAUAGUGUUGGGUUGGGUUAAGUGCAAGGGUUAGGCUUGGCUACAGUAAAUUAGUUGAGAUGAGGUAGGGGAGCAGGUCAGACACAGAGGCAGGGGGACCUCUCAAACUACUCUCCCCUGGCCUCCCGAGUGGCGCAGUGGUCUAAGGCACUGCAUCGCAGUACUAGCUGUGCCACUGGAGAUUCUGGUUAGUCCAGGCUCUGUUGCAGCUGGCCGCAGGAGUCGCAAACCCUCCCCUAACCCAGAC
RNAcentral lists this long non-coding RNA (5030 nucleotides) under Salmo salar (Atlantic salmon). RNAcentral describes it as "lncRNA (ENSSSAG00000085544.1)". Lineage: Eukaryota; Metazoa; Chordata; Actinopteri; Salmoniformes; Salmonidae. The record is from RNAcentral.